This 2519-nucleotide unclassified non-coding RNA is filed under the name Haliotis rufescens (red abalone). RNAcentral describes it as "protein jagged-1-like, transcript variant X3". Lineage: Eukaryota; Metazoa; Mollusca; Gastropoda; Lepetellida; Haliotidae. The record is from RNAcentral.
GGCUAGCACUAUAAAAUCGGCAUUAGUCAGGAUUAGUUCAAGCGGCCACACACACACACACACACACACACACACGUGCAUGCGCGUCGCUAUGUAAGUGAAAUAAUGGACGCUCACCUGACCCGAAAUACUGUACAAUGCAAUUCCUCCGUGCACGUAGGUAGAGGGUAAACCUUCCGUUGAAAGUCAUCAAAUCGCUCUGAGCCAAUACUAAUGUUGCUUUUCAUUAUUCACAGUAACUCGUGAGCUCUCUGCUCUUGCGUUAAUGCAGUAUUUGAGAUCAAAUUGGAAAGGGUUAUUGGCAAGAUUCAAACUGGUAGACUGUAUCUCAGGCUGUGAUUUGCAGACUUGGAACAGGCUUCUACAGAUACACUUAUGCUAAUCGUCGGUCCCGCAGGGCGCCCAUGGUAAGCAAUGCAAGUCCAGGAUCGAUUAAUCAGAAACCAGGUUUUAAGAAACCAAGCCCAAACAGCCAAUCAAAUCGCUCAACUUCAACGUAAGGCAACAUGACUGAUAUGUCCAUGGAAGUCACUGGACAUUACUACCGAGACAAAAUACUGGCGCCAAUAGUUGUGCCAUGCUGGUGCACGUUUUGUCCUUAAAGACAUCACCAGAAUGUAAUGGCCAGCCGUGAAUCCUGACCUUUCCCCGAAACAUAGAGCACGUCAGGGAUCGGGAGACUUGUACGCCGACGUCAAAGAUCACCCGCUACGUCAGUCGAACUGGGCUAGGCGUUGCAAGAGGAAUGGACAAGACUCCGUCAAAGUGUCAUUUGGAGAUCGAUUCGGACCCAUUCACGCCGAAAAAAUAAAGAUGUCUCCGCGGCCAUGCUAGCUGUGCUGUAGUAGACGUUGGCAUGUUCCUGGGGCGGCACGGAAUGAGGCCUUAGAGAACAAUGACACCGUUCCCGAUCAUACCAAUCUGUCUUCUAACUGUGGUAGUGUUUCUUGAGUCCGUCCACGGUUUGGGGCUGAUCGAGGUGAAACUCACCCACUACUCCAACCCCCGUGGGGUGACGGCGGCAGGGAGAUGCUGUGACCGCGUUCAGUCGCCACCCCCCUGUCCAACCAACCGAUGUGAUCCCUACUUCAUCAUUUGCAUCUCAGAAACCAACAAUGGAGGGGGCUGCUCGUACGCCAAGGAAGUGACGUCGUCGUUAACCAACCAGAACACAGCGACGUUCACGACGACAGUGGCAGACAAAACUAACCCGCUGUCGGCAGAGUUUACCUACUGGCAGGGCUCCUUUCUGCUGGAAGUGGAUGUGAACGACAACAACACCGACGUCACGACUAGCGACGACUACAUGGGUGGGUUCUCCUACCGCUACGUAGGUACACCAGUCUCCAGUACGUCAACUCAGGCUACGUCAAUACGUCUGACGGCUGGUGACUCCAUCUUGGACGUUGAAGUACGGGCGAGAUGUUUGAAGAAUUACUUCGGCAACUACUGUCUAAAGUACUGCAUCGACCGUGACAACGCCUUCGGCCACUUUACGUGUGACGACAAGGGCAAGGUUGUAUGCAUGUCAGGUUGGGCAGGGUCGAUGUGUACCCUGGUGUCGGCUGCCUGUACCCCCAACCCUUGCCAGAACGCAGGGACCUGCCUGGACAAACACGGUGUAGCUGUUUGCGCAUGUCGGCAAGAGUACAGGGGUAACCUUUGCGAGUUUCCUGUCACUACACCUUCAACAACUACAACUACUACUCCAACUCCUACUACUACAACCCCACCAACAACACAAUUUACAACAACAAAGGCAGUGACAAUCGAGAGUGUUGCAGUCUUGCCUCAAAGGAAGGAAUCUGUUGCAGGUGCAACAACCACUGUGGUACCCACACAGACAAGCCCACCUGUUGUAGAGGUGGUGAUAAUUGUUGCAGCUGUUGGUGCUGCACUCCUGUUGAUGUUCAUCAUGGGUGUGACCACUGCAAUAUUAUACAGGAAAUAUGUUUCAACAAAGAAAACAUCAUUCAACAAAGUGCAUCCUGGCAGGUCAAGUUUUAAAGUGAAUCGGAAACAAAACCACAUGUAACAACAGGCCCCUUUUCUUGGACUGGCCACCAUAGAAGGUGGCUUUGAGACCACAGUCCAGCUUUGUGAUGUAUCUGAUCCACUCUGGUGUCAUCACCUUCAAAUGAAGAUUAACCAUCGCACUGGACUUGAUUCAGCAUCUUACAAUCUCAGAGAAUUCAUUUUGUACCGGUGUAGGGUAGUCAAGUGGACCGUGUGUUCACUCAUCCCAUCAUGGUUGGUUCGAAUCCCACUUGGGUAAUGUGUGAAUUUGACUCCUGGUGCCACUACUACAUGGCUACAGCUUUGCUAAAUUCUGGCUAAGUCGCAUCUCUUUACAACCUUAGCGCUAAGAUUAACCUUGGUAACGGUUGUUUUGUAUAAUGGCACCAGAGGAAUACCACCAAACUAGUGCUUUAACAGACCAGCAACAGUUGUAUUUGCUUAAAUAUCUCACAAAUGGCUGUUAUUGACUUUGAAUUUAAUAUCAGUGCCAAACAUAAUAA